Molecule: ribosomal RNA, 433 nt
Filed under: uncultured bacterium
Lineage: Bacteria
Description: bacterial SSU rRNA
Rfam family: Bacterial small subunit ribosomal RNA
Source: RNAcentral
AACGAACGCUGGCGGCAGGCCUAACACAUGCAAGUCGAGCGAUCCUUUCGGGGAUAGCGGCGGACGGGCGAGUAACGCGUGGGAACGUACCCUUUGCUACGGAAUAGCCUCGGGAAACUGGGAGUAAUACCGUAUGUGCCCUUCGGGGGAAAGAUUUAUCGGCAAAGGAUCGGCCCGCGUUGGAUUAGGCAGUUGGUGGGGUAAUGGCCUACCAAGCCGACGAUCCAUAGCUGGUUUGAGAGGAUGAUCAGCCACACUGGGACUGAGACACAGCCCAGACUCCUACGGGAGGCAGCAGUGGGGAAUCUUAGACAAUGGGGGCAACCCUGAUCUAGCCAUGCCGCGUGAGUGAUGAAGGCCCUAGGGUUGUAAAGCUCUUUCAGCUGGGAAGAUAAUGACGGUACCAGCAGAAGAAGCCCCGGCUAACUCCGUG